RNAcentral lists this ribosomal RNA (692 nucleotides) under uncultured bacterium. Its description in RNAcentral is "bacterial SSU rRNA". It matches the Rfam family "Bacterial small subunit ribosomal RNA", at positions 139 to 851 of the family's 1533-position model. The record is from RNAcentral.
ACGGAUAACAUACCGAAAGGUAUGCUAAUACGGGAUAAUAUAUUUGAGAGGCAUCUCUUGAAUAUCAAAGGUGAGCCAGUACAGGAUGGACCCGCGUCUGAUUAGCUAGUUGGUAAGGUAAGGGCUUACCAAGGCGACGAUCAGUAGCCGACCUGAGAGGGUGAUCGGCCACAUUGGAACUGAGGCACGGUCCAAACUCCUACGGGAGGCAGCAGUGGGGAAUAUUGCACAAUGGGCGAAAGCCUGAUGCAGCAACGCCGCGUGAGUGAUGAAGGCCUUCGGGUCGUAAAACUCUGUCCUCAAGGAAGAUAAUGACGGUACUUGAGGAGGAAGCCCCGGCUAACUACGUGCCAGCAGCCGCGGUAAUACGUAGGGGGCUAGCGUUAUCCGGAUUUACUGGGCGUAAAGGGUGCGUAGGCGGCCUUUCAAGUCAGGAGUGAAAGGCUACGGCUCAACCGUAGUAAGCUCUUGAAACUGGGAGACUUGAGUGCAGGAGAGGAGAGUGGAAUUCCUAGUGUAGCGGUGAAAUGCGUAGAUAUUAGGAGGAACACCAGUUGCGAAGGCGGCUCUCUGGACUGUAACUGACGCUGAGGCACGAAAGCGUGGGGAGCAAACAGGAUUAGAUACCCUGGUAGUCCACGCUGUAAACGAUGAGUACUAGGUGUCGGGGGUUACCCCCUUCGGUGCCGCAG